Salvelinus namaycush (lake trout) is the source of this 351-nucleotide long non-coding RNA. RefSeq lists it as uncharacterized. Lineage: Eukaryota; Metazoa; Chordata; Actinopteri; Salmoniformes; Salmonidae. The transcript is spliced from 3 exons. The record is from RefSeq and is a predicted model, not a curated record.
GGAAGAACGAGUGGUUUGUUUAGGGUCUCUUCCAGCCGGUCCGGAUCAGCGUGUCGUUCCGCAGAAAAGGCUGGCUGCGGAGAUCUGGGUCUCAACAGAGCUGGUUGACCAACGAGCUUUUCAGCACACCGCAAGUCACAGUUACCAGGGACAAACACAACAUUGAGACAUGCCAUCAACAGGUGACAGACUGGUGAGUGGUGGAUGGACAGAACACUGGACACAGCAUGCAACAUGGAAGACGAGAGCGUAACAGCGGACGUCCUGUUUGUUUUCCUCUGGCCGGCCGUCCAGGCAGAGACGGGGAAGCCUCGGACCAGAGGAUAGACGCAUGGGACGCCAGGAAUGCAG